UUAGAGUUCAGCCUUAUUAAAAACGGACCCCACACCUGUGGAGCUGACGUGUGUCUCCAUGGAUUUAUUUAACCAGGAGAGGAUGGAGGAAUAAAGCUGACUGCACUCUGAGAAGAUGGAGGAGUCAUGUCCUGUGAAGGGGUGUAAUUAUGUAAUGUCGGUCUGAUGAUGACGACAACAAAGCCACCUCCAUGACAAAUGAGUCAAAACCAUUUGCUGAGGAAUGCCACAGAUAUUGGUUUUGAACCCUGGAAAAAGCCAGUAGGGAAGGUGAUGCUGCUGACACACAGAGAGUGAUCACCAACUCUGCACUUCCCCUCAGCUCUACAAUGCUUCUCCACUUUAUUCAGCCCAGAGUUUUGGUUUUAUGACUCCCCACUUUACCUUUUUUACUCACUUUCUCUGCUCUUAUUGUCGUCUCCAGCUGCAACCGUUGUUUUCAGCUCUGGUAAACUAACUGUAAGAUACUUACCAAGUACCAAACAGGAAACAGACAAAUCUGUGAAGAUUCAAAGUCAUACAGGUCGUGGCAUCUUCAGGAGUUGUACAAGUGUACAUGGCAACUGGACUUGCUUGACUUUCUUCUUUCAAGAAACACAACAAACUGUAUGUACACUUGUACGACUCCACAAGAAGACAGACAAAGAUGGCAAGAAGCCUGCGAACAUAGCGUAGCACUCUGGGAAUUCAUUCACUCAGGAAUAACUUCAAUACUCAUUUUCUUGCUGUGAAAUGUUCAGUAUGUUCAUACUGAAUAUAUUCUGUUCAAACUAUAUUAGUUCUGUUUCUAUAGUAUAUAGCAUUGCUAUUUUUUAUAUUUCAAUGUGUUUGUAUUUGCUUAAUUAUUUAUGAUUUCAUUACUUAUCUACUGAUGCUUCUAUUUAUACUUUCCCUUUGCUGCUGUAACAAGGCAAACUGUCCCGUAGAGGGACUAAAAAAGGCUUAUCUUGUCCUGUCUUGUUCCAUCACGUGGCUCAAGAACCAGAUAUUUCUCUCAGAGGGUGGAGACCAAAACUGAGCUAAGGGGCUUGAAUACGCCAGUUCAACUGAAUUUUAUUAGUAUAACACAACAUAAAUUAUCUGGAAACACUUUACUUAGUAAGGCAGAGACAUUAAUAUUCCAACAAUUUGAUAGAGAAACCCAACAGUUCCCGCAAUGAGCAAACAGAGGAGAUGUGACAGAUGAGAGAACAUCCUUUUGAAGGAAGAAUCCUCGACCAGGAGCAGCCUCUUGUUUGAAUGUUGCUGUCUGUUGGCUGAAGUGUAAAUGAGCAACUGUUUGCUAACACAUGCACCCUAACCACUGGGUGUGAAUAUCUAUGCUCUUUUUACAGUUUGCUAUUGAUGCCUUCAAGUGCAAAAAACUACUGUAUUAUACUCUGUUGCUACCCAUCUCUGUUACACCAAAUAGAUCAAUAUCCUUAAGUUUACAUAAAAAAGUACAAAUACUUUGUUACAGUAUUUAAUUAGGUUUUUCAGGUAUCUAUACUUUAUUUGAGCAUUUAU
This is a long non-coding RNA of Hippoglossus stenolepis (Pacific halibut), 1506 nucleotides long. RefSeq lists it as uncharacterized. The transcript has 3 exons. The record is from RefSeq and is a predicted model, not a curated record. Lineage: Eukaryota; Metazoa; Chordata; Actinopteri; Pleuronectiformes; Pleuronectidae.